This is a small nucleolar RNA of Trifolium pratense (red clover), 69 nucleotides long. RefSeq annotates it as small nucleolar RNA U49. NCBI's taxonomy places the organism in Eukaryota, Viridiplantae, Streptophyta, Magnoliopsida, Fabales, Fabaceae. The transcript has a single exon. The record is from RefSeq and is a predicted model, not a curated record.
ACCCAGUGAGGAGGAUCUCCCAUUAAUUGAUAGGAAGUGCCGUAUGAUACUAUAAACAACAACGCUGUG